AGAGCUGAAGGGAGACAAGAGGGAGAGAGAAAUGAGCGUCUUGAGGUCUCCUGGUGGGAGAGGAUUCCCAGAAACUGGGAAGUGUGUUGAGUUCCCAGCAGCCCCACUCUAUGUGAGUAGCUUCCCCCAGUGAAACAGACCAUACCAGGUUUUCCUAGAAGGGCUGGCAUCUUCUAGCUGGGUUCAGCUGCCAUUCCUUCCACAAAGAUAAGCCAUGAACCUUUCCUAAGGCAGAGAUCAGUGGCACAACUUCACAGCUCCAAAAUACCACACGGUUGGAGGCAGGAUUUUGAUCCCCUGCCAGUUCUGAUUUCUGCAGCUGCUGAGUUACCAGCUGCCUGUCUGUUGUCUCAGCAAUGUUCCUGGGAUGCCCAAACGACCUUCACUGGCUGCUCCAACUUCUGCAGCCUUGGUCACAGCAAAAUCCCCUGGCCCUGCAGCACUGAACCCUGACUGAGGGCCCUCACCAAGGCACAGGGUUCUUUGGACAUACCUUCCUGUAGCAGUCCACCAGGAGGUUUCCCAUAAGCACCACCAGCUGUGAGAAGGAUGGCCUGAUCUCGAACUUCUCCUCCCAGCACUUCUGCAUGAUGUUGUAGCUGCCAAGAGGGAAGGGACAGCACUGAGUUAGCAGAAGGGAUCCUGCUAAUGUGUUAUCAGAACUACAGACACCACCAUGAUCUCCAGGACACUCACCUAGAGUGAAUAUCUCCCAAAGAAGAAUCCCAAAAGACCACACAUCGCUCAGGGUAGUGUAGAGGUUGUUGAAGAUGCUCUCUGGAGCCAUCCACUUAAGGGGCAAGAAGGUCUAAGAGAGAAUAACAAAUGAAACAAGAAGAGAGUCAGCUGUACCCACAGCACUUGUUUCAACAGAUAACAGCCUGACACCCAAAUUACAAGCAAAGAAGACCCUUCAGAUCUGCCUGUGAGCCCAACACAUCUGUUGACAUCUGCUGUCAGUCGGUUCUGGGAGGGACCAGUUGCCUCUUUCUUUGUACAGAACAGACCCAGCAGGCAGGAGGAAAGAAUGGAUGUGCUAUGUCCAUCUCCAUCACAGCCCGCCGUGAUGAAUGCACACAUGUCACAGUGUGUGUUCUCUGUUCCCUUGCUCUUGAGGAGGCCACUGACUCACACAACCUGACACAAGACUCCUGAAGAAAGUCCAGGCCUAUCUGACCGUGGAGACCUGAGACCAGGCUGGAGGAGGCUAGGGAUGACCAGAAAAGAGCCAAAGGAUACAUCCAGCUUAUUUUCUGUUCUUAUUCACUCAGAGUAAUAAAAAAGAAAGCCCUCACUUGUCCAGCUUGUAGGCAGCACUGGCUGCUGCUCCUGGGAUUUGCUUGCACAAUGAAUACCAAAAUAAUCUCCAGGAAGGAUUGCAAAGGGGCUCAGUUUCAUUUCCCAUUUUGGACAGGAAACCAGCUCUGUCAAGGCUGGACCGAAAACCCCAACCCCUCUGGGGGAGGGUCCCCUGACCAAGCUCUGAGUACCUGUUUGACAGCACAUGGGAGAAAGCAUGAGAGCACUUUGCAGAACUUUGCAGAUUAGAUAAGGAUUGGGGUUUAAGGCACCUGUCUCCAUUCUCAGCCUCAGUUUCUCUAACAUAGCCUGCUUUGCUUGGGAUUGGAGAUUCACAAAUGCCUCAGGGCUGGAGUGGAUAGAUUGUUGUUAAAAUCACAGAGAAAUGUCUUCUGCAAAAGCUCAAUUACAGCCUUAUCCUCUCCUGCACCAAAGAUUGGAGAUAUCUCUCUGGAAAGUAGCUGCUUGCACG
Passer domesticus (house sparrow) is the source of this 1771-nucleotide long non-coding RNA. RefSeq lists it as uncharacterized. The record is from RefSeq and is a predicted model, not a curated record. Lineage: Eukaryota; Metazoa; Chordata; Aves; Passeriformes; Passeridae. The transcript has 3 exons.